UACGGGGGGGGCAAGCGUUGUUCGGAAUUACUGGGCGUAAAGGGCUUGUAGGUGGCCAACUAAGUCAGACGUGAAAUCCCUCGGCUUAACCUGGGAACUGCGCUUCUAACUGGCAGGCUUGAGUGUGGCAGAGGGGGGUGGAAUUCCACGUGUAGCAGUGAAAUGCGUAGAGAUGUGGAGGAACACCGAUGGCGAAGGCAGCCCCCUGGGCUAACACUGACGCUCAUGCACGAAAGCGUGGGGAGCAAACAGG
Molecule: ribosomal RNA, 253 nt
Filed under: uncultured bacterium
Lineage: Bacteria
Description: partial 16S ribosomal RNA
Rfam family: Bacterial small subunit ribosomal RNA
Source: RNAcentral